ACAUGGGUCGGCCAUGUGAAAGGCGAACGCCCUACCGCUGUGCUAUCACUCCAGCUCCCGAAGCUGCGCGCUCGGUUGAAGAGGACGGCCUUCCCCAAUAGAGACGGACCGGUCUUUGGUCGAGGGUAUACGAGUAGCUGCGCUGCCCUGCUAGAAUCUCCCAACAAUUUAUGUAUAUGGUUAUUAAAAAUUUGAAGUUAUUUAAAUCUAAUGCUGUUUACUAACAAAUAAGGCAAGAAUACUAUGGUAAACUUUUGCCUUAGUUU
RNAcentral lists this small nuclear RNA (266 nucleotides) under Sorex araneus (European shrew). Its description in RNAcentral is "7SK RNA (ENSSARG00000019920.1)". It matches the Rfam family "7SK RNA". Rfam says of the family: 7SK was discovered as an abundant small nuclear RNA in the mid-70s but a possible function has only recently been suggested. Two independent studies have found that 7SK RNA binds the CDK9/cyclin T complex (known as elongation factor P-TEFb). P-TEFb activates transcription by phosphorylating the C-terminal domain of RNA polymerase II. The record is from RNAcentral. Lineage: Eukaryota; Metazoa; Chordata; Mammalia; Eulipotyphla; Soricidae.